AGACAGCAGCAGCCGCGGUAAUACGGAGGGAGCUAGCGUUGUUCGGAAUUACUGGGCGUAAAGCGCGCGUAGGCGGUUACUCAAGUAAGAGGUGAAAGCCCGGGGCUCAACCCCGGAACUGCCUUUGAAACUAGGUAACUAGAAUCUUGGAGAGGUCAGUGGAAUUCCGAGUGUAGAGGUGAAAUUCGUAGAUAUCGGGAGGAACAUCAGUGGCGAAGGCGGCCAUCUGGGACAGCACUGACGCUGAGGCACGAAAGCGUGGGGAGCAAACAGGAUUAGAUACCCGUGUAGUCCCUGUCUCUUAUAC
This 307-nucleotide ribosomal RNA is filed under the name uncultured bacterium. RNAcentral describes it as "partial 16S ribosomal RNA". It matches the Rfam family "Bacterial small subunit ribosomal RNA", at positions 506 to 807 of the family's 1533-position model. The record is from RNAcentral.